RNAcentral lists this ribosomal RNA (495 nucleotides) under uncultured bacterium. Its description in RNAcentral is "partial 16S ribosomal RNA". It matches the Rfam family "Bacterial small subunit ribosomal RNA", at positions 28 to 505 of the family's 1533-position model. The record is from RNAcentral.
GAUGAACGCUGGCGGCGUGCCUAAUACAUGCAAGUCGAGCGAACAGACGAGGAGCUUGCUCCUCUGACGUUAGCGGCGGACGGGUGAGUAACACGUGGAUAACCUACCUAUAAGACUGGGAUAACUUCGGGAAACCGGAGCUAAUACCGGAUAAUAUAUUGAACCGCAUGGUUCAAUAGUGAAAGACGGUUUUGCUGUCACUUAUAGAUGGAUCCGCGCCGCAUUAGCUAGUUGGUAAGGUAACGGCUUACCAAGGCAACGAUGCGUAGCCGACCUGAGAGGGUGAUCGGCCACACUGGAACUGAGACACGGUCCAGACUCCUACGGGAGGCAGCAGUAGGGAAUCUUCCGCAAUGGGCGAAAGCCUGACGGAGCAACGCCGCGUGAGUGAUGAAGGUCUUCGGAUCGUAAAACUCUGUUAUUAGGGAAGAGCAAAUGUGUAAGUAACUAUGCACGUCUUGACGGUACCUAAUCAGAAAGCCACGGCUAACUACG